RNAcentral lists this ribosomal RNA (490 nucleotides) under uncultured bacterium. Its description in RNAcentral is "bacterial SSU rRNA". It matches the Rfam family "Bacterial small subunit ribosomal RNA", at positions 30 to 507 of the family's 1533-position model. The record is from RNAcentral.
AUUGAACGCUGGCGGCAUGCCUAACACAUGCAAGUCGAACGGUAACGCGGAGAGCUUGCUCUCUGGCGACGAGUGGCGGACGGGUGAGUAAUACUUAGGGAAUCUACCCAGUAGUGGGGGACAACAUUCGGAAACGGAUGCUAAUACCGCAUACGCACUACGGUGGAAAGUGGGGGACCUUCGGGGCCUCACGCUAUUGGAUGAGCCUAAGUCGGAUUAGCUUGUUGGUGAGGUAAUGGCUCACCAAGGCGACGAUCCGUAGCUGGUCUGAGAGGACGAUCAGCCACACUGGGACUGAGACACGGCCCAGACUCCUACGGGAGGCAGCAGUGGGGAAUAUUGGACAAUGGGCGCAAGCCUGAUCCAGCAAUGCCGCGUGUGUGAAGAAGGCCUGCGGGUUGUAAAGCACUUUCAGUAGAGAAGAAAAGCCUAGGGAUAAUACCCCUGAGUCUUGACGUAACCUACAGAAGAAGCACCGGCUAACUCCGUG